Long non-coding RNA from Corvus hawaiiensis (hawaiian crow), 12516 nucleotides. RefSeq lists it as uncharacterized. The record is from RefSeq and is a predicted model, not a curated record. The transcript has 3 exons. NCBI's taxonomy places the organism in Eukaryota, Metazoa, Chordata, Aves, Passeriformes, Corvidae.
CUUCUAGUCCUUGUUGCCAAACCCUCAAUUUUAAGCCAGCUCCAGCCCAAGUAAGGAUGUUUUCUCCUGGUGCUGCAGGUCAGGAAGCAAAGUGGCAGGGUUGCUCUGGGUAGAAGUUGCUUCCUUGCCUGCUGCUUCCAGGACGGCUGACUUCUCUGGAAGGCAUGGAUCUAGCAUCCCAAAAAGCCUGCAAGUGUUGCACAAGGAGCGGUGCUAUGAGGUGAAUUUUGGGGUGGCCUGAGGAAUGUGCUUGGCACACAAAUGGCUUUCUUGAGGAGACAGGGAGUGAACUGCUGAGACAUCUUGUCAGGUUAGAGGACGCUCAGCUAUCCCAGGAGGAACCCCCAGCCUGCCCCAUGGCUGUGGUCAAAGCCGUGGUGAUGGCGACUCCAUGGGUAAUAAAAACAAUAAAUAGAGAAGCAGUUUCCUUUUACCACAGAAACGAUAUUUCAGCACUGGCUGAGCUGCAGCUUGCCAGCUGUCGGCUGCAGGAAAGCCCUGCGUGCUUGGCGUGUGCGGUGCUCUCCGUGGAUGCUGUGUUUGAUUUUCAGCCCACCUGAACUGUCCCAAGCGUUUCCCGGUGUGGGAACUGCGUGUCCGGGUCGGCAUUGCCAUGCUGCACCCAUGGCAGGCUGUGGGCUGGUGCUUUGGCAACCCCUCUCUCUUGAUUUGCUCUUUUUAUCCUCAGAUCAAAUGACAUUAGACAACCUGAGGCCUAUCCAUGUGGCCUGUUGCUAUCACCACCAGGUAUCCUUAUGGAUGAACCACUGCUUUAUCCAUGUGCUAGAACUGGGAAAUGCAUAACUGCUAAGGAAUUGUGUUGGUGCCCUGGAGGUGCGUGGCCAGUCUGCCUCUGACUGGUGAAAAUUGGUGGUGCUGAGGAUGCUGGCCAGCAGCAGAGGUUGUUCUUCCUCCCCAGCACAGGCCAGUGGUACUAUUUUGGGAGUGGAUGUGCUCCAAGUGGAUACCAGCAAUCCUGGGAACAACCUGCUUUGGUGGCAUGAUGUUUUGUGGGAUUCUGCUUGCCCAGCACCACUCUGUGUUGGAAGUCACAGCCACUACCUAAUGCUCUGAUUUUGUGCCUGAAUUUGGCGUGAAUAAGGCAUUUACUUAUUGAAGUCAACAGAACAGAGGAAAAGAAGUGGUUUUCUUCCCAACAGAUAAUCUUUUCAAUGGGAGCUCUACCACAGCAGCCCACCCUGGGGACCCACAGAAACCUAAAUUGGUCUGCCCAGUGCUAAAACAUGAUCAUGUGGCCAAGGCAAGCUUGGGAUGGCUGCUGAAUGAAGCAGGGUGCAAAGCAGGAUGGACCAGGGUGGUGGAUAAGUGCAGGAGCCAGUUGUCCACAUUUGGCCUUGUACAGGCCAAAGACAGGACUGGAGUCUUGCAGGGGACUCCUGGGUCACAUGCUGCCCAUCCUGGCUGUUGCAGUCCCGUCAGUGUCUCCCAUAUGGUUAUCAGGGUGCACACUGCGCUGCCUCUGUGGGUUCUGCUGAAACCCAUCCCAGACCUCUUUGCUCUGAAAAUCAGAAAUCAUUUCAUCUCCAGCCCCACAACUCUCAGCUUGGAGAUUUCACAAGAUUUUCUGAUGUUUUCUCCCCUUCCACGUGUCUCUCAGUAACAAUUAUAUCCCCUUCAGCCCUGUUCUGAUAGCCUAAAUGAGACUAAAUUUGAAUCUCUCAUAAGAUAAUCCUCCUUUGUUUGACUGUUGUAGUCAUUUUUCACACCAGUUUCAGUUCCUCAGAAAGACAAGGGAAAAGGUUUUCGGAGUUAUGGCUGGGAUCUCAGGCUUAAGAUCAAUGGGCCUUUUGUUUGGAAAUCCAAUUCAGUGGGAAUUUUAAGAACAUAUCUGAUCAUUACUGCGAGCAUCUCGAAGUUUGGAGCCCAAGCCUGUUAUUCAGCUAUGAAACAACUCUGCUGACUCCAAGAACUUGUACAAACAUUUAUAAUCAACAGGAGGGAAGCUAAGAGCCAUUCAAACAACAGAUAAGAUUAGUUACUGAAGUGGCUGGGCUGCAAUUGUUAUUGUGCAAGUCAAAGAAAAGGCUGUCACACAUGGAGGAUGUUGCCGAGCAAGAUUCAUUCGAGUCACCGAGUCAUUCUUCUCUCAUCCGCUGUCCGAAUUCUCCUGCAGUCUUCCCAGAUCUACUCAGGCUGAGUUGGGCGAUCUGCUGGGUUAGGAGGUGACUGAGCUUAGACUUUUUUCUGGGUUGUGUCAGAUAUUUGCCUUGGUCCUGUUCUUGUCCAGCACCCCCACCACGGAAAAGGGAGCAUGUUCUUGUUCAGAGAACUUCCUGUGCCGUGAUGGGACUUGGGGCACUGAAGGAAUCAAAGCCAAGUGGCUUUUGCCAUCGCUCAGAUGCAGAGCACUCAGACAGCCAUGUGGGAAUGUCUGAGGCUGGGUGAAGGCUCAGACCAGCCCCUGACCUGGAGUGUGUAACUGGAUGGUGAAAGCUCCCUGUGCUUUCUAUCUGGGUCCUCCUUGGAGUGUGCCUUUGGGGAGAGGAGCUCAGCAUGGCUCGUCCACUGUCGUGAGGCGUUGGUCACCCGGUGAACAAGCCCCAUCAUGUGCAGCAAACAGGAAACCAGCACACAACAUAUGAAAGUCAUUUAGGAAGACGGGAACGAUGAGCGGCACGCACAAUAGCGUUGCUAUUAGGAUCUGUCGAUCCUAAUUAAAAAAAUACUUCUCAAUGAAAAUUAUUUAUAAAAAGAAAUCACAGUGACCCUAAAUCAAAUUAUUUGUGAAUGGCUUUUAGUCUCCCAGAUCAGUUAAAACUCCUGUGUUAGUCACUGGACGUCAUCCAAGCUACAUGCUGAAUGAAUAACAUCUCUGCCAAAUUUCAUUUUUUUUUCACCCUCACCCAGUUUGGCACAGGACAGUUAAAGUCAUUUUUCUAAAUAUCUUUCAGAACAUCAAGCAACUGUAAAAUAACAAUGGGAAAGCUUGGCCACGGACAACUGCAGCCCUCCAGCCGGAACCGCUUCUCUCCAAGAAAGCAACUCCGUUUCCUUUGAUGAUCUGUUUUGGGGGAGCACUGAGGCAACGAUUCCUCCACGGGGGUACUGGAGGGUCACUGCCCGAGGGGUAACUCUGCCAGGGAGCCUGGCUUCCAGGCGUUCCAGAGUGGGGCACAGCCGGAUCCAGACUGGCCCUGGGUACAGGGUUUGUGUCCUUUUGGCCACCUGCUAGAGAGUGACAUCCCGAGGACAUAUCAGCCAUUCCUUGUCCACGGUGGAAGUUUCCAUGGUGAGCUGUAAUGACGCUGCUUUUGCUCACUGUUCAGAAACGAAAAACAAAAAACAAACAGAAAGAAAGAAAGGAAGGAAUCAAUGACUGCACAAUGGCAGAACAAGUUCUUGCGUCUUGUGUCUGCAAAGAUAAAGUGCUAAUUCUUCUAAGCACUAUGUGAUGUCCUAUCCGAGUGAAUCAAGUUUGGGAUUGUUUUCGUGAUGGCUUCUUCCAACUCCAGCGUGCUUUCUUUUCUCCUUUGACUGGCCUGCAAGUCCCCCUCUGCCCUUUUCUCAGCUGGCUUUCCCCUCAUCAGUUCUUUCUGACCAUGAAGGGCUCUGCAGUGUCGUCACCUGCAGAGAGCGAGGACCCUGCCCAGCUCUUGGUUCUCAGAGAUGUUAAGAGGGAAGCAUGAUUCUCCAGCUCCCCACAGCAGGAAGUGCUGGUUGCUAUUCUGUUGAAAACUAGCAGCAAAUGGCCACCAAAUUCCAAUCUUGUUGGUUUUCAGUGAGAAUAAUUUAUAAACCCAGGGCUCUCUGCUCCUUGCCUCCUAAGGAGGAGUAAGGACUGGAGCCCAGCAUCAUGUGCAGCAAUUAGCAAAGACUGUGUCACCCAUGUGUGUGACUGCCUGUUUCCCAGUAUCCAGAUGGCUUCUUUGCCUCCAGUUGAACUGGUGUGAUGACUGGGUGGACCUCCUGCUUCCCUUCCCUCUUCCCAUGCCCAUGGCACUGGCUGGGAAGGUGCUCUGUCCACAGGGACGUCCAGGAAGGUGGGCAUAGCUGGCUCACAGGGACAGCUGCUCUGGCUCCUGGUGACCAGCUGGUUCAUCCUUUUAUUAAGGUGACAGCACCUCCUGUGCUUUUGCUGUUUGAUUCCUCUUGUUUUCGUGCUGCCUUGCUGCUGUCUCCAGAGCUGUGCCCAGAUGGUCCUGUUGUCUCUCCAGCCAUGACUCCUGGUUCUGGACUUGCACAGCCGUGCAGCAAGACAGCUGACACCCUCUCUGGUCUUGCUUUUCCUUCUGGACUUAUGGACAUGCUGGGGGUUGUGGCCUGUGAAUUCAUCCCCUCAAGGCACAUUUUUGGAAAGUGUGCUUUACAAAGCACUGGCUGGCUUUGUCUGCAGCAUUCUGGGUUUCUCAGCUUUGCCUCAUAGAGGUGCCUCCCACUCCUGUGCCACAAUGCCUGGUUUAUCCUGCCAGCCUCUAAGGUUGUUGGAUCACACCAAGCAGGGUCACUAAAGUGCCCAAGACCAGUCCAGCUGGUGGAAGCUCCCAGAGGAGAAAAGGGUGGGAGAAGGCAGAGAGGAGUCUUGGUACUAGAGACUCCCAGGUAUGAGUGUGCCUCGAUUCCUUCUCCUCCAGCCAGGAGAACUUUCUGGCCAUUUUUAACUUCUGGUUUUUGAGGUUAAUACUCCAGCCCCUCCCCAAUGCAGCUUUUUGCAGGCUGUGAUUCUUUCUCAGAUUACCUUAAAACCCCUUUCCUUAAAAAGUGUGUGAGGAUGUUGGCAAUUCCCAACUCAUGACUAGAUCUCUUACAAUCUGUUCACAGGGAGCAAGGUUGCUCAUAGAGCUGGGGUGAAAUGGGCUGACUACUUCUGUGUGGGGCCAGAGAAACCCCGAACACCUGCAAGGGUGAGAAGGAAGAUACAGAACAAAUUGCAGUUUUGAAAUGAGAUUUAGAACAAAUCAUGGUUUAGCAGUUUUGCAUCCAAGAAAAGGAGGCUUUGACUUUUUCUUUUCCCCAAAAGUUUUUCUCUGAAGAUGCUAACCUGAGUGUUGCCUCUCUGAGAGGACACAGCGAGUCCUCAGCUCUCAGGUGGGCUGGCUGCUGCCAGCAUGACACAGUGCUGUGGUUUGACCCCAGGUGGCAGCUCAGCACCAUCAUCCACUCACUCACUGAUGGGCUGGGAGAGAGAAUCAGAAGGAUAAAAGAAAAACUGGCAGCUGAGAUAAUGACAGUUUAAUGGGGAAAACAAAACCUACGUGCACCAGCAAAGCAAAGCAAGGAACCUGUUCCCCACCUGCCAUUGCAGGCAGGUGUUCAGCCACCCCCAGGACAGCAGAGCUGUGUGGUCUGGGAUAUCCCUUGGGUCACUGGGAGUCAGCUGUUCUGGCUGUGUCCCCUCCCAGAUCCUUGUGCACCCCCAACCUGCUCUCUGGUGGGGUGAUGCGAGAAGCAGAAGAGGCCUUGGCUCUGUGUAAACCCUGCUCAGCAAUAACGAAAAUACCUCUCUGUUAUCACCCAUGUUUUCAGCACAAAUCCAAAGCUCAGCCCCAUAGCAGCUACAGGGAAGAAAAUUAACUCUACCCCAGCCACAACCAGCACACAGAGUCCCGGCUCCCCCAUUCUCUGUGGGGUUUGGUUCACAUGGCUCUGAGAGGAAAACUCCCCCAAAACUCACACAAUGAAGAGCAAACUCCAGCUGUGCAGAUGGAGCUGUGCAGUACAGACAAGUGCUCUGAUCCAUUACUGGAUUGCAAGUAGCUGAUAUUCCUGUGGUGGAACCUCUUUCUGCAUCCAGAUAGUUGCCCCCCUGGACCCUGCACCCACCUAGUGAUGUUAGUGCCCCUGGUUUUGAAUCCUUUUUUCCCAUGGUGGUAAACGGCAGCCACAAGGCUAAUGGGUGUACUCAAGGCUUGUUCUAGCAGUGUAGGCUCAUUGCAGAAGCUCAGGACCUGCCUUUUGGGUCCUGGGGGCAUAUAUGUGUGUAUGGGUGAAUGCAUCCCUGCAGGCACAGCUGAUAUCUAAAGCAGUAAUUUAAAGGAUGCUACAUAAACCCAGGAAUAGAGUAAUACCUACCUGGAGGAGAGCAGAGGCACUGGAGCUUAAUUUAAACUCUUCCAACUCCCCUCCCUCCCAAUUCUAAGAUAAAUGGACAAAAACAUGCCCUGGAAGCUCUUGUGGAGCCCAGCCAGAGAUGAGCAGGAAGGAGCCAAAGGCAUGUCCACAGCUCGUCUUGCUGUGCAGGAGGCUUGGAGAGGUGUUUAUAAACACCUUUUCUGCUCACAGUGCUCUUGGCCCCUUUCUGACUCUUGGACUCAGGGCCAGCCGUGGCCCUGGUUCAAGCUUGUUUUGAAGUGUUUCAUCCCCCGUGCUCUGCAGAGCUGCCUUGGUGCUGAGGCUGAGCAGGGAUUUGCCCUGGGAGCAGGUCCAUGCUCUGCAGGGAGGAUGGGAGCUGCUGUGCAGAUCCAGGAGACGGGAAUUGCCCCCUUCAAAGUUACUCCUGGAGGUUAAUCAUUGUUCUUCCAGCGACGGGUGUCUGCUCCCGGCAAGAGAUCAGUUGUGGGGUGUCACUGCCACUGGGGGCACGGGGAAGGAGCUUUUCAAGGUGAGAUUGUGUGUUUAGUGUGGCCAGGAUGAGCUGGCAGCUCCUGCAAGCCUGGUGCUGCCCCUGCCACUCGUGUCCUUUCCUCUUCCCCUUGGUCAGGGUCUGCAUGCCUGGGAGGGAAGGCCAGGGACACAUGAGGAUAGGAGGAACCUUCUGCCUUCCUCACGUCCUACCCCAGGGUGGAAAGCCAAGUGGUUUUCCCAGGGGCAGGUGAGCUGCUGAAGGGGCAGUGCUGCCUGAGCAGCAAGGAAAGCAAGGAAAAGGUGACAGAGGAGUUUUUUAUUUCCCCAGAGCUGCAGGGGAUGGUGGCUGCAGACACCUGGCCACCUGGCAUGGCAAUUUGGGCACUGGCAGAGGAGAUCUGGGCAGUUGUGUGGCAGCUCUGGCUGGAGGAGCACAGCCAGGGGUGGCUGCUGGGUGCCUUUGGGCAAGAGCAGUGCUGGGGACCUGGUGCAGAGAGCAGCUGAGGAGCUUGGAGAGGGUGCUGGCAGGAGGGAGCCCAACUCCAUUGCCUUGGGAGUAGGAUUUCCUCCUGUCUCCCAGGAUUGUUGCCUCAAAACACCACAAGGAAUGACCAUCUCUCGUUCUCCUGGCAUUUCCUUUCUGGAGAGGAGAGUCAGACUGGCAGAGGCAAACAGUCCUAGUUUGGGGUGGGGUCCAGUCUGAGCCCCAACAGUGAAUUGCCCCCUUGCAGGGCACAUGCCAGAGUUGGUGUCUCUUUGCCAGAGGCUUCCUCAGGAUACAUUUGCCCAUGCACAGUGCCCUGUCAGGGGGGCCUGACCUGAAGAAAGGGGCCCGUUUCUGCCCCCAGAGCAAUGCCAGGCUGGUGUCAUGGCCUGCAGAUCCUUCUAAGUUGUGGCAGCAGAAGAAAAAGAGAGAAAUCACUGGGAAAGACCCAAAGCAGCCACGUGUCUCUGGCAUCUCUCAGCCCCGGGGCCCAAUAGUUUCUGUGUUUCCUGUGUUCAGCUGCCUUCCAAGAAGAUUUUCCCAGCUCCUGGAGCUGGGUCUGAGUUUUCACACUAGCCCUGUGCUUGGUCUUGCUCUGUCUGAGAGGUGAUGUGUCCCAUGAGCUUGAUCUUUCUGCAGCAGGCUGGGCCCUCAGGUGGGAGCCCGCAGCCCUGUGGGAUGGGCACAGAUCCAAGCAGGGCACCCGCUGCUCUGCCCGGUGCUGGUGGAGCUGGUGCUGAUGCUGUUUGGCAGUCACGUCAUCAGGACAGGAAUCUGGUUGGAUCCCUGGGAUGAAAAAACUUGGCUGACUGUAAACAAACCUAUUUACACAGAUACCUCUCGGCCUGGCGUGGAGAAUGUGGGAGCUUUGGUCGAGAAGAAUUUAUAGCUUGUAACUUCUAAACUCCUCAUUAUGCAAACAUGAGAACAACCAAGGCAUCUCAUUAGGGGCUGUUCACAGCAACUGGCUGUGGUGGCAAACAAAGCCUGUUUAGAGGAGAUACAAGAUGAUGUCUGAGUUUGAUUUUGUGGAGUAAGGGGUAACAGGAAGAGUGUUUGAAGCCAUUCUUCAAGUAUUGCAACACUACCUGUUGCCCUGUCCUUCUGUGGCCCAGCCAGGUGUCCUGCCCCACACCUUGGAGGAGGCAUCCACCAGACCCCAGUCCUUGUCUUUUCCAGGAAAGUAAAGCUGUUCUUUAAACCAUGCUCCAGUGUCUUCCCUGGUAGGAAGUCCCAGCAGUCCUUCAAGGACUGUGCUGAUACAUGGAGUUAUGGCCAGCUCUGCAAUCCUCCUGUGAGAGGUGCAAGGGGGCUGCCACUGAUGGGAGGUAGGUGUGAUACCUCCCUUUAAAGGUCCAUCAGUUUCUGGACCUCGAGAGAGAGAAAAGCCAACUUGGCUUCUCAUUUGAAACUUUACCAAGAAGAAAAGGGGCUGUGCUGAGGGGGUUAUUUAAGGCAGCAGAGUCACUUGUCAUUCACAAGGUGAUGGGGUUGAUUCCUACCAGCCCUGAGGUGAUGAGAGGCCCAGCCCACAACUGCAGAGUCCUGUGAGCCUGACAUGGGUGCUGUGACGAGGAAGAGUCAGGCACUAUUCCUAUUUUGUGCACGACUUCCCAUGGGCAGCAUUAGGAAAUGUUGUACUGUAGCAGGGGAAUGUCUCAAAGUAUCAAAGUUUAUUUUAGUAAUGAUUUAACAUUUGCCUACCUCUCUUUCAGAGCUGCUCUGGAGGUAUUUUCUGGAGCAUCAUUGUGGCCCUGGGUGGGAUUUUUUGUUUUUUGUCCUGUUGAGAUCUGUCUGGGUUUUGAAAACUUGGGAUUCCUGUUCUCCUUGGCUUAUCUUGAGAUUAUCAGCUCAAAAAAGUUGUCCCAUAACCCGUCUCAGUGGUUUGGAUUUUGCUGAAGAGGUGUUAACUGAGAACCUCUUAGUCCAUAAGUCAGACCCUUACCAUGGAGUCAGUAUCUUUUUACGUUUCCCUGAAAGAUGCCAUGAGUAAAAUUAUGAAGGUACUGAAUUUUUCCAUGCUCUGAUUUCUCACAGAGCAAAUUGGCUGCAGAGUCCGCUCUGGCUUGGUGUCAGAGGGGAAACAGCUUCACUUUUAUGAAGUAAUUCCGAGGAGGAGGACAGAGUAGGAUAGGGUGGCAUUUGCUGGGCUGACUCUUGCUGUUAGAGAAGGGGACAUUUUUGUGGCCCAGGCCUAGAGGGAUGAUGGCAGCUCUCUGCCCUGGCAGCUCCUGCAGCACCUGGCUGGGUUUGGAUCAGCUGUGGGCCCCCAGAUUGUCUGCUGGUUGUCUGCUUUUAGAUGCACAAGUCCCAGCUGGGGCUGUGCAAUAGCCCUGGAGUAGGCUGAAGGACUGAAGGAGCACAGCAGACUGAAUCACACCAGGAAGAGGAGAAAACCAUGGCUCCCCUAAACCCUGCUGCUGUGGAGACCAGGAAUUGCCUGGCACCAAUACAGAAUGCACCCAACACAGCAAGAAGUCCUUCUCCCUCCCCAGGGACCAUUAGGGUGGUUUCAGCCUCUCACAGUGUCUGAAUAGAGGAGCUGGUUUGAGGAUAUUGCUUACGGGAAUAUUUUGGGAACUCAUUAAAAAGAGAAUUAUAGACCAGCCCUGGUGUGAUUGAGAUAAGGUGGUGUGUAAGUGUGCAGGAAACAUGAACAUCCUCUCAAUAAUUAAAUUCAAUUAAUUGUUUUACAGCUGCUCAGCCAAUACCACGAGGUUCAGGUGGGGAGGUGCAGUGCUGGGACUCCACAAGGUCUGGAUGGAGCAGACAGAUUAAAUGAGACCACCUCCCAUCAUCCCUCCUUUCAGUCUGUGUGCCCCCGACCCAACGAGUCUGUAUGUGUGAUCCAGCCUUCAGGAGAGGAGAGAGAGGCAGGAGCAGUAUCCCCUGGGGCAGGGUUAAUCUCAGUGCAGCUGCAUGUGGUGCUGCCUGUGUCCUCAGCUCCAGCCAGGAUGUGCACAGCAAAGGGCUGAGGAGGGAGCUACAGACCGGGAAAGAUGCGUGGCCUUGGAUAUGCCGGGAAAGUCUUGAAGUGCCCGUGGAGGGAGGAUCCAGCACGUGCACGUGCGUGCCCACGGAUCACACGAGUGAGAUGCAGCAGAUGAGCUGCCUUGCUCUAUUUGUAACCUCCCACUGCUGUUGCACAGGCUUUGCAAGGAGGAGAAGGAGCUGAAAAUGGAGCUGAAAAAUGAAACUUGAGGCUCAGAUGCUUGCAGAGGCUCAGGAGCCUGAUUCAACCCACCACUCCUCAAGGAAGCAGGAGCUUCUGUUCCUCCUGGGCCCUGUGUCUUCCUCUCACACUCAGCACAGAGUGAGACAUUCAUACUCCACCUUGGAGCAAAAAUAAUUUUCGUUAACUCAUUGAGGAAAGGAGACAUAAAGACACAAAUUAAUUGCAAACCACACAAUUACAGUGUGAGGAAAGAAUGAGGGAGGAAAAGAAAAACCAACUUGGUCUUAUUUUUUAAUUUGCAUCCCUUUAGCUGGCUGAAGGAGAGCUGGGUGAGGACAUGGCAGUGCCAUGGUGUACCCUGGUGGGUGGGACACAGCCUCCCUACCUGGGCAUCACAGCUGGGAAGUUACACUCAGGCUCUUGCUCCCUCAAAGCUGGUUUGGACAGUCCUGGGGGCUGCAGCCUGGCCACUGGUGGGUGCAGGGUGAGAGGCUGGUGUGCAGGGAACCACGGACACCUGUCUUGUGCCCAGGCCCAGGCUGGGGAUUUCCUGCCUGAAUUCAGCACUUGCUGCCCUGAGUGUUGCCUUUGGAGAGUGCAGGAUGUUCUUGGGAUAGUGCAGGGAGAGCACAGGGAGAACCAACAGGGCUCCUCUUCAGCCCCUUACAUGCAGCAGCCUGGGACAGCCCACCCCUCCCCUGAUCCCAGCUCUCCUUGCAAAGGACAAGAUGGAAAGGUGAGUGAUGAGGCUCCAGCACCCCUCCAACCCUCCUGGCUUCUUGCUGAAACUGCUAAUUAAAGAGCCCAUUUCAUCAAGCGAUUUUUUUCUGAUGUGAAAACUUUUCCAUAAGGAACUAGUCCCGAAUCCACCAACUCAUUUCACAUUUAUUUUAAAUCUAAGCUUUAUAUUGUGUAGUUUCCUCCAGGGCUUGAUUAUCUUCUCAGUAAAAGCUCUGUUGUUCUGGUUUGUGAGGCCUAUAUUUAGCCUUGCCGUAAGGUCUGUGCACCUCUCAGUACAGGGCUCAGAUGCUGCCACCCGAGCUCCUGGGCUUUCCUCUUUAUUGGGAUCUAUUAAACAAGUUACCAUUUCUGUAAUAUCAAGGGCAUUUUCCAGCCACAGGCUGCCUACAAGCAGAAACUUAUUGCUGCAGAAAUGGUCUCCUGGAUCUCAGAAGUCAUUUGGAGAGGGCCUCUUGUCUAACAAUGGCAAAUUAUAUUUAAACAGGGAAUCAAGGGCGAAGCCAAAGAGCCUUGUCCCUCUCUAUUAUUGUGGUGAUACCUCAAGUCCUCAUUCCCUGUGUUUUCUGCACAUGUAAUAAGGCAUCCACCCACUCAGCAGAUUUUUACGUAAAAAUACACAAAAUAGGCAAAAGUGGGAGGGGACUUUACCUAUGAAGGGAAUUCAGAGGUGCACAGAAGUACCUGAUGCCCUGGUAUGACUGCAAUUGUUAUUUAAUACACAGGGGGGUGUAAGGAGGUUGUGUGGAGAGAAGGGAGAGAGAGAGAGAGAAACAUCAGAGUGGCUGGCAGCGAAACCCAGUCCAGGGAGAAUCUCUGGGAUGGAAGAGUCUCUCACUGCUGGGCUGGAGACUGGGAUACACCAUCCUGAGGGGAGCAUUUUCUCCCCCUGGUGCCGUUUUGCACCCAUGUGUCACCUUUCUGGUGACACAUCUCAGUGCCUGGGCACCACUGUCCUUCUGGGGGACAAGAAGUGCUGCCUCGCUGAUCGUCAGCUCCCUGCCAGUGUCCACCUCUGCCAGUCCCACUGCAGGAAUCCUCUGGCUCUGGGCAGCAGUGCCCUGCAGAGGCUCCCAUCUCCUCCACCCUGAGUGGUGUGAAGCCCUCCCAGAGCUGGAGCUGCUGACAAAUGUGUUGGAUGCAGCUGUCUGUAUCCAAGGAACGGAGCGUGUGAGCGGCACAGCGAGCCAAGGCACGCGACUGGAAUGAUCAACGGGCAAAAUCUGGGUGCUAAGGCACGGGCUGGAACAUCUGAUUGGAAGGCUGGGAGGAAAAAGGGAAGGCUGAAUUGUUUAUGGUUUGUUUUUCAUUCAUCAUUCCUGUUCGUGUGGGUGGACAAGGAGUGAAUGAGUUUCUCAGGGAGGGCAGCAAAUAAAACAGGCACACAUUUCCUUGAAGGAUGAGUAGCUUUUUUCCCUUCCUAGUGCCUAGGUGAAUGUGUCACAAUGGGGCUGGAGGAACCCUAACAGCUUUUCUCUCAGGUGAAGGAAACCACUUGCUCUUGAUUUUUUUUCCCUUUGAUCACCAUGUGCUAAGGAGAUAAAAGGUUUUUUGGGGUGGGUUUCAUCGUAAUAAAGUACUGCUAUUUCUCCCUACA